This 440-nucleotide ribosomal RNA is filed under the name uncultured bacterium. RNAcentral describes it as "partial 16S ribosomal RNA". It matches the Rfam family "Bacterial small subunit ribosomal RNA", at positions 338 to 795 of the family's 1533-position model. The record is from RNAcentral.
CCUACGGGAGGCAGCAGUGGGGAAUAUUGCACAAUGGGGGAAACCCUGAUGCAGCGACGCCGCGUGAGUGAAGAAGUAAUUCGUUAUGUAAGGCUCUAUCAGCAGGGAAGAAAAUGACGGUACCUGAGUAAGAAGUCCCGGCUAACUACGUGCCAGCAGCCGCGGUAAUACGUAGGGGGCAAGCGUUAUCCGGAUUUACUGGGUGGAAAGGGAGCGUAGACGGCAGUGCAAGUCUGGAGUGAAAGGCGGGGGCUCAACCCCCGGACUGCUCUGGAAACUGUACGGCUGGAGUGCAGGAGAGGUAAGUGGAAUUCCUAGUGUAGCGGUGAAAUGCGUAGAUAUUAGGAGGAACACCAGUGGCGAAGGCGGCUUACUGGACUGUAACUGACGUUGAGGCUCGAAAGCGUGGGGAGCAAACAGGAUUAGAUACCCUUGUAGUC